GCAUUUGUUUUCUGAGACUCAGGAUGUAAUGCUGUUGGUGUUAUUCUAGCACCAACAAUAACCACGUGAGACAGUUCUAUUCCCAUUUUGCAGAGAAGACUGGCUUUACAGAAUUAAAUCCUCUACCUAUGGGUCAUGGGACAAGCAAAUAACAGUAUCAGGAUCUGGAGAUGACUUUGAACUCCAAGUCCAACAUUGUCCACUCCACCACAGGCGCCACCUCAGAUUCUCCCCAAGUCCCCAUGGAUAUGGAGUUCAAGCAAUUCUCCUGCCUCAGCCUCCCAAGAAGAGAGUUCUUGAUCAUGAUCCUAGCUAUGCCUCCAAAUGUCAGCUACUGAAGAACUGUUGAGCAUCCUCCACACACCAGACUCUCUGAGGCACAGAAACUACAGAAGAUAACAAAAUACCUAUCUUUAGGUCACUUCAUUGCACCUUACUUCAGCAUCCCCAGUUUAAAAUAAAAGUCAUGCUUCUUGCUGAAUUGAA
Non-coding RNA from Macaca mulatta (Rhesus monkey), 486 nucleotides. NCBI's taxonomy places the organism in Eukaryota, Metazoa, Chordata, Mammalia, Primates, Cercopithecidae. The record is from RefSeq and is a predicted model, not a curated record.